AGGUAUAUGGAUAUUUGAGUCAUCUAUUUCUUAUCAAGAGCAGUAUUGAUGUCCCCUCUUUCAUUCUUGACAUUGUUAUUUGAAAGUAUGCAGUUUAGUUUCAAGGGAUUACAGCAUUUCAAGGUUAUAUUUGUUCUAAAAUUUACUUCUGAGUACUGGAUUAGAAACAUUUGCAUGAGUUCUGAUGAACCUAAACACUCUGAAUUCCGA
Homo sapiens (human) is the source of this 210-nucleotide long non-coding RNA. RefSeq lists it as uncharacterized. The record is from RefSeq and is a predicted model, not a curated record. NCBI's taxonomy places the organism in Eukaryota, Metazoa, Chordata, Mammalia, Primates, Hominidae. The transcript has 4 exons.